CCUAUCACAUGCGAUAGGACUUAUGCGGAAUACAACCGCGUACCUAGGAGAACUAGGAUUGGACUCCUAAAGAGGAGAAAACAAAUG
RNAcentral lists this non-coding RNA (87 nucleotides) under unclassified sequences. RNAcentral's name for it is "freshwater-2 RNA". It matches the Rfam family "freshwater-2 RNA". Rfam says of the family: Aquatic, esp. fresh water. No recognized genes The record is from RNAcentral.